GUAUCCAACCUGCCGAUGACUCGGGGAUAGCCUUUCGAAAGAAAGAUUAAUACCCGAUGGCAUAGUUCUUCCGCAUGGUGGAACUAUUAAAGAAUUUCGGUCAUCGAUGGGGAUGCGUUCCAUUAGGUUGUUGGCGGGGUAACGGCCCACCAAGCCUUCGAUGGAUAGGGGUUCUGAGAGGAAGGUCCCCCACAUUGGAACUGAGACACGGUCCAAACUCCUACGGGAGGCAGCAUG
RNAcentral lists this ribosomal RNA (237 nucleotides) under uncultured bacterium. RNAcentral describes it as "partial 16S ribosomal RNA". It matches the Rfam family "Bacterial small subunit ribosomal RNA", at positions 117 to 353 of the family's 1533-position model. The record is from RNAcentral.